AACUUUGAAGGCCGAAGA
RNAcentral lists this non-coding RNA (18 nucleotides) under Arabidopsis thaliana (thale cress). Lineage: Eukaryota; Viridiplantae; Streptophyta; Magnoliopsida; Brassicales; Brassicaceae. The record is from RNAcentral. RNAcentral also lists the same sequence under 1 other name.